AAACCUCGAUAGGAAUCGAACCUGCGCCUUCGAUAUAAUAGUCGACGUACUAUAUACUAUACUACGAGGUU
This is a non-coding RNA of Podospora pseudopauciseta, 71 nucleotides long. NCBI's taxonomy places the organism in Eukaryota, Fungi, Ascomycota, Sordariomycetes, Sordariales, Podosporaceae. The record is from the annotation of a RefSeq genome assembly.